AUGCUUCCUUAUGAGAUCUUUGCUGCUACUUUUCAUUGUGUUAUACCAUCAAUUAAGCUAGACUUGAAAAAUUAUUUGCUUGGACAUGAUCAUACAUACAUUGUUGGUGGCAUUGCUCUCAUUCCUGAUGAUGACACUUAUUUUCCUUAUGCUAGUCCUAUGCUUAAUGAAACAUAUUAUUCCCAUGCUAGUCUUGAGCUUAAUGAUAAAUUUCAUCCUCAUGUUAGUGUCGACCUUGCUGAUUUCUACCAUCCUAAACAUGUGUUUUAUAGCUAUGCUUAUGUAAUUGGAUAUUCGAUUGAUGACUUGGAGGGUAUUAUCCCUACCACUUGCAUUGUCUCUUUCGUUGAGUGCUCUUUCAGGUUUUUGCUUGUGCACUAUCCAUUACAUGCUGACCAGGUUCGAGGUGACAUUCCUUGGGACCCUGGUGGACUUAAAGCAUGGCGAUGA
Molecule: ribosomal RNA, 450 nt
Filed under: Triticum aestivum (bread wheat)
Lineage: Eukaryota; Viridiplantae; Streptophyta; Magnoliopsida; Poales; Poaceae
Description: partial small subunit ribosomal RNA
Source: RNAcentral